Molecule: long non-coding RNA, 515 nt
Organism: Helianthus annuus (common sunflower)
Lineage: Eukaryota; Viridiplantae; Streptophyta; Magnoliopsida; Asterales; Asteraceae
Exons: 2
Source: RefSeq, a predicted model, not a curated record
UGUUCUAACACAUUAUGAACUCAAGAAGUGUAUAUAUAUAUAAUAAAACGAACAUACGAAACAAAUGUCAACAUAUUUAAAAUACACAAGGGUUCCAUAUACAAUAAUGUUCAAGAUGAGCAACGUGUACAUAAAUUAACAUAAACCCAAGUGUCUAAUGAGUUAGAGCACUUGUAGGUUAUUACGCGCUAAUUGGAUACCCGAACUGCUAGCAUACAUACGGACGCAAACUUGUAACUAAGUGGAUCUUGGUGCAACAAAUUAUGAAGUUUCAAGUUUACUAUGAAGACGAUGUCAUCCGUAUUUUGGAGGGUUUGAUCCAUAUAUCCCGUCUUCGAACGGGACAUAGGAUGCAAAACCUCGUUAUUUCAAAAACUUUAUUUUGAACAAGUCUUGUUUGUAGAACUUAUAAACUUAUGUUGUCUUUUGCUACAAAACAACUUAUGACUUGUAUCUUUACAUUAUGGAAUGGAUGAACAUCGUGUAUGUUUUAUAUCAUAUAGUUUGUUUACUUA